Molecule: transfer RNA, 93 nt
Filed under: Erinaceus europaeus (western European hedgehog)
Lineage: Eukaryota; Metazoa; Chordata; Mammalia; Eulipotyphla; Erinaceidae
Source: Rfam by way of RNAcentral
AGGGAGAUAGCUCAGGCUGUCAGAGCACAGGACUUGCAUUCCUGAGACCCAGAGACUAGAAAGGUAAGCAGUGCCCAGGUGUCUCUCUCUCUG